Molecule: ribosomal RNA, 463 nt
Filed under: Entamoeba bovis
Lineage: Eukaryota; Evosea; Mastigamoebida; Endamoebidae
Description: SSU rRNA
Rfam family: Eukaryotic small subunit ribosomal RNA
Source: RNAcentral
GUAGGAUGAAACUGCGGACGGCUCAUUAUAACAGUAAUAGUUUCUUUGGUUAGUCGGUACAAGGAUAACUUUGUGAAUGAUAAAGCUAAUACUUGAGACGAUCCGGGAAGUAUUUAUACUUUUCGGCCCUUGGCCGCAAGGCUGGGGAGAAACGACAUUCUCUUGUGAAAAAGGAUGCCGCGACAAUUGAGGAAAGCGACGCUUUUAACAAGUAACCAAUGGGAAUUUCUGAUCUAUCAAUUUGUUGGUAGUAUCGAGGACUACCAAGAUUAUAACGGAUAACGAGGAAUUGGGGUUCGACAUCGGAGAGGGAGCUUUACAGAUGGCUACCACUUCUAAGGAAGGCAGCAGGCGCGUAAAUUACCCACUUUCGACCCGAAGAGGUAGUGACGACAAAUAACUCUUGGCGCCCCUCGGGGUGACUUGAAGGAAUGAUUUAGAAGUAAAUUCUCUAAAGAAAUCA